This 661-nucleotide long non-coding RNA is filed under the name Rattus norvegicus (Norway rat). Its description in RNAcentral is "long non-coding RNA NONRATT017744". Lineage: Eukaryota; Metazoa; Chordata; Mammalia; Rodentia; Muridae. The record is from RNAcentral.
CAGAGCGAGAAUAAAGGUAUAAAACCUUUUUUUUUUGGGGGGGGGGGGGGAAGACUCAGGGGGCCUAUCUCUCUGAAGCACAGCAUAAGUGAAAAUUCAGGCAUUUCCAUCUAAGUCCGCCCCUGUGAGAUUCAAAUGCCUCCCAGCAUCUAGAACUCAAGCCUGAGAGCCUGGAUGCAGGACUCAGAACAGAUCCGCAGGGGCAAUGGCUCGGCCAGUGUGAACACUGAUUCCCACAGCAUGCCAUCCAUGAGGCUCUAGGUGCCCCAAGACCCAUCCUCUAAAGGUAGAAGCCACAGCUGAGAGGCCGUGUACAAGGCUCUCCAUCCAGUAGGCCAGGGACUAUCUGCACCUAGUUGGCUCAUGCAGAAGCACUGGGUUAGGGGAACAGCACUAAGUCAUGCAAUGCCACGCACUGUGAGAGAUACAAGGUGUUCUGCCAGGGGUCUGGCCUUCACUCAAGGAAGCUAAGAUCCCGCCACCACCACCCUGGUGACAGGUGAGUGCUAUGUGGUAGCUACACCUGAAGUGCUCAACCUGAGGGAAAGGACAUAUGGAGAGACCCUUCACGGUACCCGUCAGAGCUCACCAGACCAGACCAAAAAUAAAAAAAUAAAAGCAAAAACAAAACAAAACAAAAUAACAAAAAAAAAAAAAAAAA